Molecule: transfer RNA, 61 nt
Filed under: Thermoleophilia bacterium
Lineage: Bacteria; Bacillati; Actinomycetota; Thermoleophilia
Description: tRNA-Val
Rfam family: tRNA
About the family: Transfer RNA (tRNA) molecules are approximately 80 nucleotides in length.
Source: RNAcentral
GGCCCUCAGGGGCGCUCGCUUCACACGCGAGAGGUCGCUGGUUCGAAACCAGCCGUGCCCA